UGGGGAAACCCAGCAUGAGUUAUGUCAUGUUAUCGAUAUGUGAAUACAUAGCAUAUCAGAAGGCACACCCGGAGAACUGAAACAUCUUAGUACCCGGAGGAAGAGAAAGAAAAUUCGAUUCCCUUAGUAGCGGCGAGCGAAACGGGAAGAGCCCAAACCAACAAGCUUGCUUGUUGGGGUUGUAGGACACUCUAUACGGAGUUACAAAGGACGACAUUAGACGAAUCAUCUGGAAAGAUGAAUCAAAGAAGGUAAUAAUCCUGUAGUCGAAAAUGUUGUCUCUCUUGAGUGGAUCCUGAGUACGACGGAGCACGUGAAAUUCCGUCGGAAUCUGGGAGGACCAUCUCCUAAGGCUAAAUACUCUCUAGUGACCGAUAGUGAACCAGUACCGUGAGGGAAAGGUGAAAAG
RNAcentral lists this ribosomal RNA (409 nucleotides) under Staphylococcus aureus. Its description in RNAcentral is "partial 23S ribosomal RNA". It matches the Rfam family "Bacterial large subunit ribosomal RNA", at positions 119 to 521 of the family's 2925-position model. The record is from RNAcentral. Lineage: Bacteria; Bacillati; Bacillota; Bacilli; Caryophanales; Staphylococcaceae.